UGAGGGUGGGAGAGAAGUGAAGGAUCAGACAGCCCUCCCUGCUUACAGGUGCUUGUGUUGCGUUCUUUCUGCCUAUAACCUGCAACUAGAUGAUGUGGACAUUUUGGAAAACAUUCUGAAAGCAGUUAUCAUUAUGAUGAAUUGCUUUGGACAUCAAGUCACUAAAGGUUCCUGUUGGCUAUGCCAGUUUCUCCGACCUUCCUUGUGUUUGGUGAUCUAGACAGUUUUGAAGAACACUGAUAAGGCAACCUCAACCAACCCGGAGUAAAUCUCACUUUGAACAAGCAUUAACACUG
Long non-coding RNA from Mustela erminea (ermine), 296 nucleotides. RefSeq lists it as uncharacterized. The transcript has 4 exons. The record is from RefSeq and is a predicted model, not a curated record. NCBI's taxonomy places the organism in Eukaryota, Metazoa, Chordata, Mammalia, Carnivora, Mustelidae.